UGGGGAAUCUUAGACAAUGGGCGCAAGCCUGAUCUAGCCAUGCCGCGUGUGUGAUGAAGGUCUUAGGAUCGUAAAGCACUUUCGCCAGGGAUGAUAAUGACAGUACCUGGUAAAGAAACCCCGGCUAACUCCGUGCCAGCAGCCGCGGUAAUACGGAGGGGGUUAGCGUUGUUCGGAAUUACUGGGCGUAAAGCGUACGUAGGCGGAUUGGAAAGUUGGGGGUGAAAUCCCAGGGCUCAACCCUGGAACUGCCUCCAAAACUAUCAGUCUAGAGUUCGAGAGAGGUGAGUGGAAUUCCAAGUGUAGAGGUGAAAUUCGUAGAUAUUUGGAGGAACACCAGUGGCGAAGGCGGCUCACUGGCUCGAUACUGACGCUGAGGUACGAAAGUGUGGGGAGCAAACAGGAUUAGAUACCCUGGUAGUCCACACCGUAAACGAUGAAUGCCAGUCGUCGGGCAGUAUACUGUUCGGUGACACACCUAA
This 482-nucleotide ribosomal RNA is filed under the name uncultured bacterium. RNAcentral's name for it is "bacterial SSU rRNA". It matches the Rfam family "Bacterial small subunit ribosomal RNA", at positions 355 to 855 of the family's 1533-position model. The record is from RNAcentral.